UACGUAGGGUCCGAGCGUUGUCCGGAAUUAUUGGGCGUAAAGGGCUCGUAGGCGGUCUGUCGCGUCGGGAGUGAAAUCUUACAGCUUAACUGUGAACUUGCUUUCGAUACGGGCAGACUUGAGGCAUUCAGGGGAGAACGGAAUUCCUGGUGUAGCGGUGAAAUGCGUAGAUAUCGAGAGGAACACCUGCGGCGAAGGCGGGUUGCUGGGCUGAUACUGACGCUGAGGCGCGAAAGCUAGGGGAGCAAACAGG
Molecule: ribosomal RNA, 253 nt
Filed under: uncultured bacterium
Lineage: Bacteria
Description: partial 16S ribosomal RNA
Rfam family: Bacterial small subunit ribosomal RNA
Source: RNAcentral